Molecule: ribosomal RNA, 208 nt
Filed under: uncultured bacterium
Lineage: Bacteria
Description: partial 16S ribosomal RNA
Rfam family: Bacterial small subunit ribosomal RNA
Source: RNAcentral
UGCGUAGGUGGCGCCGUAAGUCGGGUGUGAAAUUUCGGAGCUUAACUCCGAAACUGCAUUCGAUACUGCGGUGCUUGAGGACUGGAGAGGAGACUGGAAUUCAUGGUGUAGCAGUGAAAUGCGUAGAGAUCAUGAGGAAGACCAGUGGCGAAGGCGGGUCUCUGGACAGUUCCUGACACUGAGGCACGAAGGCCAGGGGGAGCAAACG